RNAcentral lists this ribosomal RNA (497 nucleotides) under uncultured bacterium. Its description in RNAcentral is "bacterial SSU rRNA". It matches the Rfam family "Bacterial small subunit ribosomal RNA", at positions 28 to 526 of the family's 1533-position model. The record is from RNAcentral.
GAUGAACGCUAGCGGGAGGCUUAACACAUGCAAGUCGAGCGGGAGGGGCAGCAAUGCCCUGAGAGCGGCGCACGGGUGCGUAACGCGUAUGCAACCUGCCUUAUACAAAGGGAUAGCCCAUGGAAACGUGGAUUAAUAUCUUAUAGGACUUAAGAAUCGCAUGGUUUUUAAGUUAAAACUACGGUGGUAUAAGAUGGGCAUGCGUCUGAUUAGGUAGUUGGUAGGGUAACGGCCUACCAAGCCGACGAUCAGUAGGGGUUCUGAGAGGAUUACCCCCCACACUGGUACUGAGACACGGACCAGACUCCUACGGGAGGCAGCAGUGAGGAAUAUUGGUCAAUGGGCGAGAGCCUGAACCAGCCAUCCCGCGUGCAGGAUGACGGCCCUAUGGGUUGUAAACUGCUUUUCUGCUCCAAGAAACCCUGUUACGUGUAGCAGGUUGACGGUAGAGUGGGAAUAAGCAUCGGCUAACUCCGUGCCAGCCGCCGCAGUAAAAC